RNAcentral lists this long non-coding RNA (1423 nucleotides) under Homo sapiens (human). Its description in RNAcentral is "HSALNT0081818". The record is from RNAcentral. Lineage: Eukaryota; Metazoa; Chordata; Mammalia; Primates; Hominidae.
AAAUUAUUAUUCAAUUUGGUGAAUUUGUAUUUGUUGGUAUUCUGGAAUAUAAAUCUCUGAAAAAGGGACACCCCAUUGCAAGUAGAUAUGAGGAUGGCAGUCAUUUUCUUCCUCCAACCCUUAACACUGUCUUGGAGAGUUCCCAUGUUCCGGUUGAAUAUUUUGGUACUGAAAAAUGUCUUCAGGAAAGCAACAAUUGUUUUCCUAGAAAAAAAACCUGAGAACUCAUUUCUCUCUUUAGGUUGCCUGACAUUUGUAGCUGAGUGAAACCAUGGUGAGCAUUGAUUUAUUUUACUAUAAAAUUAUCAGUUUUACUCACUCAAACAAUCCUUUUAUAUUAAAAAUAUUUUAAAAAUAAAAGCAGGGUAUUGUUUUGCUUUACUAAAUGGAGUCACCUCUUUUUCUCUUACUUUUGACAAUUUGGUUGUCAAAUUGUGUGAAUUGUGAAAAAAUAGCCCUGAGUACAGAGAAUUUUUACCUCAGGGAUAUCAAAAAAGUCAUGUUAGUAAUAAAAUAAGCCAUUGAUUGUGUUAAAACUCAAGGUGGGUCAUUUAAUUGCAGUUAUUAAAAAGUUCUUUCAUUAUUUACCUCUGGGAGAGACUGUAGGUAGGACUGUAAGAUUAUUAAUGAAAAUGCGUGUAGAUUGGUUUAAAUGAUUCAGCUUCAUCUCACCAAGGAGUUAGCAUGUUCAUUCAUUUUACAAAAGUGUAUUGAGCACCUCGCCUACUAUGUCUUGAGUAAUUUGUUAGACAUACAAAGUUGACUAAAACAUGGACUCUGACCCCAAGGCUAAAAUGUUAUUUCACAUGUGCACAGUGCUUUACAGAUUACAAAUGACAUCAUUACAUCCUCAUAAGAAUCUCAUGAAGCAGAUGUUGGUUCCAUUUCAUUCAUGAUGAAACUAAAACAUAGAAAACAUAAUAGUCUCCCCAAGGCUGCCUGUAGCACAGUUCCUUAGAUUCCCAAUCAGGUGACCUUUCCAAACUGUAGAGAUGGCUCUAUAAUAGUUUAAAAAGGAGAGAUAAGAAAUGUCCACCAUAGGUAAAUACAAAAUAGACAGUAAUACGUACAAUCACAGAAGUUCAGCUAAAGUGGUACAGGAGUCCAGAAGACGGAGAGAUGGCUUCUGGGUAGGGGAUGGAUAAAGGGCAUAAGGACUAGGGAUAGGGAUGGAUGGACUGUGCACUUUCAGGGCAGGGGAAGAUCAUUCCAUCCAGAGCCGGAAAAGCUUCAGAAAAGCUUAAGCCAGGUGGGAUAUGGCAUGGGAAGAAUGGAAAUAGGAACAGUCAGUGGUUCAAUUUACCUUGAAGAUAGAAUAUAUCACAUGGAAUUAUUAGAGAUGAGGACAAAAAGAUGGAAAAGAAACACAUCUUCCAGGUCUUUGAUGCCAGGCCAUAAAGCUUGAAUUUUUUUUUGCUGGAAG